CCUACGGGGUGCAGCAGUGGGGAAUUUUCCGCAAUGGGCGAAAGCCUGACGGAGCAAUGCCGCGUGGAGAUAGAAGGCCCACGGGUCGUGAACUUCUUUUCCCGGAGAAGAAGCAAUGACGGUAUCUGGGGAAUACGCAUCGGCUAACUCUGUGCCAGCAGCCGCGGUAAUACAGAGGAUGCAAGCGUUAUCCGGAAUGAUUGGGCGUAAAGCGUCUGUAGGUGGCUUUUUAAGUCCGCCGUCAAAUCCCAGGGCUCAACCCUGGACAGGCGGUGGAAACUACCAAGCUGGAGUACGGUAGGGGCAGAGGGAAUUUCCGGUGGAGCGGUGAGAUGCGUAGAGAUCGGAAGGAACACCAACGGCGAAAGCACUCUGCUGGGCCGACAAUGACACUGAGAGACGAAAGCUAGGGGAGCGAAUGGGAUUAGAUACCCCAGUAGUC
This 442-nucleotide ribosomal RNA is filed under the name uncultured bacterium. Its description in RNAcentral is "bacterial SSU rRNA". It matches the Rfam family "Bacterial small subunit ribosomal RNA", at positions 338 to 795 of the family's 1533-position model. The record is from RNAcentral.